UUGAAAGAGGAAUUAGGGGAAAAAUCAGAUGCGGCUAUUCACCUCUUCUCUUCUUCUUGCGAGCGGCGGCGGCCGGAGGACUUCACUCUCUCCGUCGUGCGACUUGCAUCGGUCAGAGAAUUCCGGUUUGGCUCCGUCCCGAUCCUUCAACCUCUCGUCCGUCUCUGUCUUUCCGAUUACGAACUCUCCGGCUCGCUCUCUCGAUCUCUCUUCCAUCUCUCUCCGAUACUCUCAGUUCUAGCAUCGACUCACUCUGAAUCAAGCUCUCAUCUAAUGAAGAUUGGCGAUGAUGAUGAUGACGAUUCGGUGUUCUCGUACAGAGAGAUGACGUGGAGGCGAGUUGAAGAUGCUGAGAUGCGAUAUGAAGAUGAUGUUAUUGCGAUGAAGAUGAUGAAAUUGCGAUGAAGAUCGAUGAAGAUGAUGAUUGAACGUGAUGAUGAUGUAUGAAGACAAAUCGAAGAAUUCGAUUUCCCUUUCCGUUACAGGUUUGUUGAAGGAUGAAGGUAAUGACGUUGUGACUCGGUGUUGUUGCUGAUACGUGAAUGAAGAUAAAUUAGAAUCUGUUGCAGGUUGGUUGAAGAAGAUGAAUGAAGUUCUAUGGUUGGAGAAGGUCGAUGAAGAGGUUUGUGAAAGAUGAUUGAAGCGAUUCAAGGAGGAAGGAGAUUGAAGAUUGAAUCCUCUUAUGGCUGGAGGAAGAUGAUCGAUGGAUGUUGAGGAGAGCCUGAGAUUGCUGAGAGACGAAGAGUGAAAGAUGAAGAUUCAAGGGCGCUGCUCGGAUCAGUUUUGGAUCAGCUAAUGCAACAGGAGGAUUGAUUCUUUAUUUGGAUGCAUAGUUUAGUAUUUAUGCUGCAAGUACUUUCUGGUUUUGUUAUGCAGCGGGAUUUUUGUUUCAGGGAUUAUGUCAUGCGUUUGAACCGGUUUAUAGAGAUGAAUUUUGUGGCGUGAAACUCGUAGAAGCAAUCGUAGCAAUAUGAAGAUUGAUGAUAGAAU
Long non-coding RNA from Vicia villosa (hairy vetch), 990 nucleotides. RefSeq lists it as uncharacterized. NCBI's taxonomy places the organism in Eukaryota, Viridiplantae, Streptophyta, Magnoliopsida, Fabales, Fabaceae. The transcript has 3 exons. The record is from RefSeq and is a predicted model, not a curated record.